Non-coding RNA from Pelobates cultripes (western spadefoot toad), 271 nucleotides. The record is from the annotation of a GenBank genome assembly. NCBI's taxonomy places the organism in Eukaryota, Metazoa, Chordata, Amphibia, Anura, Pelobatidae.
UGCUACUAUCGAUACAGCUGGUAUUUAUAUACAGUGUUUGAUACUUUGUGCAUUUGAAGUGAAUCUAUAUUUGUUGAAGGCACACCCCAGAUCGCUAAAGCACUUUAUCUUACUGAAAAGUAUGUACUUUUUUUCAUUUUGCAAAAAGUAAAGCUUUUAAUAGAAAGACACUUUUAUAAACUGACCUGGUUACAUUACCCUUUGCUUUCAAACAGACAAAAGCGGUUACUUCCUGCGGUUUUGUUAGCUCAGUGGAGCGAUACUCACGAGG